Molecule: long non-coding RNA, 2231 nt
Organism: Dreissena polymorpha
Lineage: Eukaryota; Metazoa; Mollusca; Bivalvia; Myida; Dreissenidae
Exons: 3
Source: RefSeq, a predicted model, not a curated record
CCAUGAACCGCGCAUGUCUGUGCGCUGUUAUAGAUGAAUCAUUAAUAAACAAAUAUUUCACUGGAUGAACAUCGGCCGAAAUGGUUGGGAUUUAUAUUUGCAUAAUUGCCGUGGUUAUACUUGCUCGCGAUGCUCUGUGUUUAAGUUGUAACAAAGCCCAAGCGAACACAGUCGAUGGGGCCGAAGGUUUCUCAGUUCUGUACAUUGCUGGCCUACCGAUAAUAAUCUUCUUGGCGUCAAUUUUGUACUUACGCUACGGUAGAGGGACAUGGCGAAACAUGAACAACCCACAUGCAGGGAGCGAUCCCGCAAAUCCACAGCCAGGGAGCGGUCCCGCUCAUCAACAGCCAGGGUGCGGUCCCGCAAAUCCACCGCUAGGGAGCAGUUGCGAAAACUCGUCGGACAAUCCCGGCAGCAUCCGAAUAACCAAUUAAAAACAACCACACAAAUAUGGUUGUUCAAAAGUGUAAAAUUAAAAGGAACUUUAGAUAUUUAAGACUUUAAUAAUGGGUUCAUUCCACCUUCACGUUGGUAUAUUAAUACACAGUACUUUUGGUGUAUAUUAUAUCCUGCGUAUACUUGUACAAGUGUUAAAUUUAAAAAUAGCAAUUCCAAAAUGUUAAUCUACCGAUAAGCAGAAGAGAUCACAAUCACAAGAAUUGAGUUUGUAGUAUUGUAUGUCGUUAUUAUGUUACAAAUAAGUUGUAUUCAAAAUAAACAAACCAAUAUAUAUAUAAACAUUAUAUAAACAGUAAUACACGAUUUGUAACCACUGAUGAAUACUUUUCAUUUUCAAUGUGUGACAGCUUUCCGUUAAUUUAGUAUUAUUCUAACAUGGUGUUUAUUUAUUAAACGGUGACGUGACUUGAUAUUUGAAUAAUACAAAGAUUUUUAUACUUUGUUUGAAUGUAUAUUAAAAAAACACUCUUUCAAUUUGAUUUAUUAGUUGUAGCUUAAACGAUUGUUUUACUUUAGUUUCAAUAAUCAACUGUUACUUUUUGCUGUGUCAUUUUGUAUUUUUGUAAAUAUAGUUCAGUAUUUCUUGUCUUGAAAGACAAUUUCGUUCAAGUUUUACAAUAUUUAAAAAAGGCAAUUUGACAUGUUCUCAAAUAUUUCUCCCUUUUUGUUGUCUUCGUCAAGAUUUGUUCUUAAACCAUUCAUUAUGUUACUUUUUGCGGUGAAUAAUGUUUUUGUGUGUUUUUAAUUCAUUUGAAGUGUCAUAUAUGUUUCAAUGUUGAUUCAAAUCGGAUUUGAAACCUUUGAUGAGUUACGUGAAUAACAAUUGAGUAUGUGUUAUAUCCCAUUGAUUUCUAGUAAUUAAGACAAACAAUAUAAUAAAAUGGAAGUGCAUGACGAGGAGGAAUUCGUGAAUUUAGAUAAUAUAUCGCUUUUAGUGCCAAAGAAAUGCUUUCACUUAUUGCACAAAAUAGGCGGACAUUAUGGCAGACAGAAAUUCCUAUAAUCUUACAAAAUCCAAGCAAAUGAAAACUCGACACACCCGAUAAGAUCCCGUUAUAUUAAUUGAUUUUCUUUACGUCCAUCCCAACCUCUAACACCACGCUGAUUGAUAUUUUUAGAGCUGAUUGAUUGAUUGUAUCAUUUUAUGUAUAAACCGGUUAAGACUUAAAGGCAUCACUCCACUAAAUGAUAGAUGAAGAAAACUGUAGUAAUGACUCUCCGAAGAUUCCUUAGCAAAAUUAAAGUUUGUGUGUAUACAAACGACCUCCAUGUUAGUCGAAUUUCAAAUGAUGUUUCGUUCUACAUAUGUUGAUGCCACCUGAAUUAUGUUAUAUAUAUAUAAAUAUAUAUAUAUAUAUAUAUAUAUAUAUAUAUAUAUAUAUAUAUAUAUAUAUAUAUAUAUAUAUAUAUAUAUAUAUAUAUAUAUAUAUAUUAUAAAAUCAAGAAAUAAUAUUUAAUAAGAAACUAUAUCAUAGGUAAUGUAAUUUAUCUUUGUAUUGCAUUUUUACCCGCCUCUUUUAUACAUCUAUGUACUGUAUUUCUCCUAUUGAAAAUGAUUAUCCGUUCUACCUUCUAUAUGGUGUUGGCACUUAAAAUAUGUCAUCUAUAUUGUAUAAUCAAGAAAGAAUAUGUAAUAAGAACCAUAUCAUAUGUAAUGUUAUUCAUCAUUUUUAUAUAGUAUUGCCAGCCUUAUCUAUACAUUUACGUACUUUUUUGCUCGUGUAUUGAUGUCAAACAUAAAUUGAAUUGAAAUAAAAGGUUUUUUGACUUGA